RNAcentral lists this transfer RNA (71 nucleotides) under Loxodonta africana (African savanna elephant). It matches the Rfam family "tRNA". Rfam says of the family: Transfer RNA (tRNA) molecules are approximately 80 nucleotides in length. The record is from Rfam by way of RNAcentral. Lineage: Eukaryota; Metazoa; Chordata; Mammalia; Proboscidea; Elephantidae.
GCACUGGUGAUUCAGUGGUAGCAUUUUCGCCUUCCAUGCAGGAGACCUCAGUUCGAUUCCCAGCCAAUGCA